GACGAACGCUGGCGGCGUGCCUAAUACAUGCAAGUAGAACGCUGAAGGAGGAGCUUGCUCUUCUGGAUGAGUUGCGAACGGGUGAGUAACGCGUAGGUAACCUGCCUGGUAGCGGGGGAUAACUAUUGGAAACGAUAGCUAAUACCGCAUAAGAGUAGAUGUUGCAUGACAUUUACUUAAAAGGUGCAAUUGCAUCACUACCAGAUGGACCUGCGUUGUAUUAGCUAGUUGGUGGGGUAACGGCUUACCAAGGCGACGAUACAUAGCCGACCUGAGAGGGUGGUCGGCCACACUGGGAAUGAGACACGGCCCAGACUCCUACGGGAGGCAGCAGUAGGGAAUCUUCGGCAAUGGACGGAAGUCUGACCGAGCCACGCCGCGUGAGUGAAGAAGGUUUUCGGAUCGUAAAGCUCUGUUGUAAGAGAAGAAAGAGUGUGAGAGUGGAAAGUUCACACUGUGACGGUAUCUUACCAGAAAGGGACGGCUAACUACGUG
This 495-nucleotide ribosomal RNA is filed under the name uncultured bacterium. RNAcentral's name for it is "partial 16S ribosomal RNA". It matches the Rfam family "Bacterial small subunit ribosomal RNA", at positions 28 to 507 of the family's 1533-position model. The record is from RNAcentral.